UGUUCUGUUAUUUUCUGUCUAACUGUUCUUGUCAGCGGCCACCUGCCGACACAGCUGCGGCUCGUUUGUUUAUCAGUUCCGAACAGUUUUCCUCCUGAGCUGGUUGUGGUGCUGAGCUGCAGCUACACGUGUUACCUGUCUACCUGUUUCCUCAUGUGAUCGCCUGACUGGAAACAAAGGCCACGUUUAGAUUUGUUUUUCUAAGUUGGCUCUCCAGUCCGGUUGCAGCAGCCAGAACCAUCUGAGGAGAAGCUCACGGCGUCCUGCAGACAGGACGAGGGACAGCCAGCAGUUUAUAGUUCAGGCCAAUCACCAGCGAGCAGAAUUGACGGACAUCCACAAAGUCGCAGCAGAGGAUGUUGACGUCGCACGCCGCACAGCCUGGACGCUGCUCGCUCGCCCAGCAGAGCAGCAGCGAGAGAGCACUCAUCGUCAUCUUCCUCAUGUCCUGGAGGGGAUGAAGGAGCACGUAAGGAGCGUCCUCUGUCAGGUUCAGACCGCUGGCGUAAAAACCAGCUGGAAAGACAAACAGCUGCAUACCUGGUCUUCCUUGGUGCUUCUGCUGCUCCAGCUCAGGGUGCUGCAGCACCAUCUGCUGGUUGCCAUAGGAAACAAUGACCUGCUGACCUCUGGACCAACAGGAGCGCAGAGUGGGAAUGUCCUGCACAUCAACACAUGUACACAAAUCCCUGACUGUGUAUCGGCCCACUCACCUGGGAGGAGCAGAGUUUCUUUGCGAACAGGGUGAUGAUGUACUCUACGAGGUGAAAAUGAUCUUCAUCGGUCAUCGAUUCGAAGUGCGAGCAGGAAACGAUUACAAUCUCUUUCGGAUGAUCGUCCAGCCAGUCAUCAGUGUGUAGAUUCCGUGAGCGAAGAACAGUGUGUUGCCUGCUGCUGGUUUCCUGACGAUCCGCAGGUCCAAGAAACGAACACCAAGAUCACACUGAUCACUGAGGACCGAUUGCUGAACACACACAGGGAGAAGAGAAAGAGAAUUAAUAUAAGAUAAAUGGGGAAAAGUA
Centropristis striata (black sea bass) is the source of this 1022-nucleotide long non-coding RNA. RefSeq lists it as uncharacterized. Lineage: Eukaryota; Metazoa; Chordata; Actinopteri; Perciformes; Serranidae. The record is from RefSeq and is a predicted model, not a curated record. The transcript is spliced from 6 exons.